UAGAUACAACCAGGCACACAUAUCAACCUGCUCUUUUAACAGGGCUACCAUCCUGUUCUUGACUUGCCUAUGAAGCGGCCUCAAUAUUCGCUUUCUGACCUCGGCGGUGCUUGGAGCAACAAUUCUGAACACGCCUCAUGCGGUUGAAUCACCUUCUCCUCUUGUUUCAACAACCUGGCUAAUUCCAGCAGAUCACAAUCUUCUUCG
This 207-nucleotide long non-coding RNA is filed under the name Lathyrus oleraceus (garden pea). RNAcentral's name for it is "Pisum sativum (pea) long non-coding RNA (PSAT_LNC006341)". Lineage: Eukaryota; Viridiplantae; Streptophyta; Magnoliopsida; Fabales; Fabaceae. The record is from RNAcentral.